CGCGUGUGUGAAGAAGGCCUUCGGGUUGUAAAGCACUUUCAGCGAGGAGGAAAGGUCAGUAGCUAAUAUCUGCUGACUGUGACGUUACUCGCAGAAGAAGCACCGGCUAACUCCGUGCCAGCAGCCGCGGUAAUACGGAGGGUGCAAGCGUUAAUCGGAAUUACUGGGCGUAAAGCGCACGCAGGCGGUUGGAUAAGUUAGAUGUGAAAGCCCCGGGCUCAACCUGGGAAUUGCAUUUAAAACUGUCCAGCUAGAGUCUUGUAGAGGGGGUAGAAUUCCAGGUGUAACCGGUGAAAUGCCGUAAAAAGAUUCUGGAAGGAAUUACCGGUGGGCGAAAGGCGGGCCCCUUGGACAAAAGACUUGACCCUCAGGUGCCGAAAACCUGGGGGAGCCAAACCGGAAUUAAAUUCCCUGGUAAUCCCCCCCCCUAAAACGAUGUCCAUUUUGAAGCUGUGUCCCUUAAAACUGGCUUUCCGAACUAACCCGUUUAAUCACCCCCUGGGGAAUACGGCCCCAGGGUUAAACUCAAUUAAUUACGGGGCCCCCAAAACGGGGGACUG
Molecule: ribosomal RNA, 560 nt
Filed under: uncultured bacterium
Lineage: Bacteria
Description: bacterial SSU rRNA
Rfam family: Bacterial small subunit ribosomal RNA
Source: RNAcentral